Molecule: ribosomal RNA, 492 nt
Filed under: Paraplagusia japonica (black cow-tongue)
Lineage: Eukaryota; Metazoa; Chordata; Actinopteri; Pleuronectiformes; Cynoglossidae
Description: partial 16S ribosomal RNA
Rfam family: Bacterial large subunit ribosomal RNA
Source: RNAcentral
AAUCACUUGUCCUUUAAAUGAAGACCUGUAUGAAUGGUUUAACGAGGGCUUGACUGUCUCCUUUCUCAAAUCAAUGAAAUUGAUCUCUCCGUGCAAAAGCGGAGAUGAAAUUAUAAGACGAGAAGACCCUGUGGAGCUUAAGAUAGUCUUAUAUAUUACGCCAAAACACCCCUAUUAAGAGGCGAAAAGCUAAUAAUCCCUGUAACCUAUCUUCAGUUGGGGCGACUAUGGGGCAUACUAAACCCCCACGAAGACUGAGAACAUCUUAAAGGUAACCUUAAUUUUCCCAAAACCUAGAAAUACCCUUCAAAAUAAUAGAAUUUCUAACUUUAUUUGAUCCAAUCCGUUGAUCAACGAACCAAGUUACCCCAGGGAUAACAGCGCAAUCCUCUUCCAGAGUCCCUAUCGGCAAGAGGGUUUACGACCUCGAUGUUGGAUCAGGACAUCCCAAUGGUGCAGCCGCUAUUGAGGGUUUGUUUGUUCAACAAUUAA